CAACGAUUCAUCGUUCUUGUUAGCACACCGCAAAGUAACUGCGCAGGAAGGCAUUGGGUUACUUUAUAUGAAGAAUUCCACGCACAGGCCUUGAUUUCUACCAAUCAGUGUUCACUCAUGAUAUGUCGUUCCAAAUAUACUCCCAAGGUCAGAGAGCGCAUAUCAAGUUCUGAAUUAUUGUUUGCGAGGAUGAACUUGAGGCGAGCUCAGGGCGCUUCUAGAAUGAAGUCAUGUGCAGACGCUCGUGGCGCAAACAUUCAGAAGCCGAAGGAGGUGGGUUCAAAGUUGGCGAACAAACUCGAUUCGAAAUCAGCGUGUCACUAGGAGAAACGGAGCAAUCGGUCUUCAUACGAGAACAUGGAGCUGUUAGUGGAUUGGACAAUAACACAAAUGACCCUGACAGGAAAUCGGGGAGCUUUUAUAAUGUUGGGAUAAGUACAGACAAAUCUGGCGUGACAUUAGAGAGUUGUAACGUCUACCAAUCCUCAUACCAAAUCAGGAAUUUGCAGAGGCUAUCGUUUUCCUCACUAAUCAGAUGGGAAAUCAAGGAGCCAUUUGGUUAGAAAGAUUUUCUUUGACAAGAAUACGCAACGCAAGAAUACGAGACAAAUACGCAAAUACGUAUACGAUAAACAACAGAUCAUUAUACAUGAGUAUAUGUCGUGAAUAAAUAAGUAUAAUUAUGUAGUAUCUAAGUGCGCAUGACAAAUGGAGUUAUCACAAGCAGUUAUAAAUGAUAAUUGGUAAUUAUGAUAUUUAAUAAAUGAAUUUGUUGUCAAAA
Molecule: long non-coding RNA, 781 nt
Organism: Bombus terrestris (buff-tailed bumblebee)
Lineage: Eukaryota; Metazoa; Arthropoda; Insecta; Hymenoptera; Apidae
Exons: 2
Source: RefSeq, a predicted model, not a curated record